GUUAUCCGGAAUCAUUGGGUUUAAAGGGUCCGUAGGCGGGCCUGUAAGUCAGGGGUGAAAGUUUGUGGCUCAACCAUAAAAUUGCCUUUGAUACUGCAGGUCUUGAGUCAUGGUGGGGUUGCCGGAACAUGUGGUGUAGCGGUGAAAUGCAUAGAUAUCACAUAGAACACCGAUCGCGAAGGCAGGUGACCAACCAUGUACUGACGCUGAUGGACGAAAGCGUGGGUAGCGAACGGGAUUAGAUACCCUGGUAGUCCACGCCGUAAACGAUGGAUACUAGCUGUGGGGACUUCGGUCUCCGUGGCCAAGCGAAAGUGAUAAGUAUCCCACCUGGGGAGUACGUUCGCAAGAAUGAAACUCAAAGGAAUUGACGGGGGUCCGCACAAGCGGUGGAGCAUGUGG
RNAcentral lists this ribosomal RNA (402 nucleotides) under Oxyrrhis marina. Its description in RNAcentral is "partial Bacterial small subunit ribosomal RNA". It matches the Rfam family "Bacterial small subunit ribosomal RNA", at positions 540 to 944 of the family's 1533-position model. Lineage: Eukaryota; Dinophyceae; Oxyrrhinales; Oxyrrhinaceae. The record is from RNAcentral.